GCCAGCGUAGCUUAAUAUAAAGCAUAGCACUGAAGAUGCUAAGAUGAGUCUUAAGUGACCCCGCGUGCA
Molecule: transfer RNA, 69 nt
Filed under: Garra motuoensis
Lineage: Eukaryota; Metazoa; Chordata; Actinopteri; Cypriniformes; Cyprinidae
Description: tRNA-Phe
Rfam family: tRNA
About the family: Transfer RNA (tRNA) molecules are approximately 80 nucleotides in length. Their secondary structure includes four short double-helical elements and three loops (D, anti-codon, and T loops).
Source: RNAcentral